GAACGCGAAGAACCUUACCCGGGCUUGAAUUGCAGAGGAAGGAUUUAGAGAUAAUGACGCCCUUCGGGGUCUCUGUGAAGGUGCUGCAUGGUUGUCGUCAGCUCGUGCCGUGAGGUGUCGGCUUAAGUGCCAUAACGAGCGCAACCCCUCUCUUCAGUUGCCAUCAGGUUAAGCUGGGCACUCUGGAGACACUGCCACCGUAAGGUGUGAGGAAGGUGGGGAUGACGUCAAAUCAGCACGGCCCUUACGUCCGGGGCUACACACGUGUUACAAUGGCCGGUACAGAGGGAUGGUGUAAUGCAAAUUGCAUCAAAUCUUGAAAGCCGGUCCCAGUUCGGACUGGGGUCUGCAACCCGACCCCACGAAGCUGGAUUCGCUAGUAAUCGCGCAUCAGCCAUGGCGCGGUGAAUACGUUCCCGGGUCUUGUACACACC
RNAcentral lists this ribosomal RNA (434 nucleotides) under uncultured bacterium. Its description in RNAcentral is "bacterial SSU rRNA". It matches the Rfam family "Bacterial small subunit ribosomal RNA", at positions 957 to 1391 of the family's 1533-position model. The record is from RNAcentral.